AACGAACGCUGGCGGCAUGCCUAACACAUGCAAGUCGAACGAGACCUUCGGGUCUAGUGGCGCACGGGCGCGUAACACGUGGGAAUCUGCCCUUUGCUUCGGAAUAACAGUUAGAAAUGACUGCUAAUACCGGAUGAUGUCGAAAGACCAAAGAUUUAUCGGCAAAGGAUGAGCCCGCGUAGGAUUAGGUAGUUGGUGGGGUAAAGGCCUACCAAGCCGACGAUCCUUAGCUGGUCUGAGAGGAUGAUCAGCCACACUGGGACUGAGACACGGCCCAGACUCCUACGGGAGGCAGCAGUGGGGAAUAUUGGACAAUGGGCGAAAGCCUGAUCCAGCAAUGCCGCGUGAGUGAUGAAGGCCUUAGGGUUGUAAAGCUCUUUUACCAGGGAUGAUAAUGACAGUACCUGGAGAAUAAGCUCCGGCUAACUCCGUG
This 433-nucleotide ribosomal RNA is filed under the name uncultured bacterium. RNAcentral describes it as "partial 16S ribosomal RNA". It matches the Rfam family "Bacterial small subunit ribosomal RNA", at positions 29 to 507 of the family's 1533-position model. The record is from RNAcentral.